CUCCUAGAUUACAUCUUUACAAAAACAAUGUGCCAGCUCCUUCACUUCUUGAUUGUUAUCUCAGAAUAAAUUACAGUUCUGACAUCUCUUUUCAUUUGCCACUACAACCAAACUUUCAUUCUCUGAAGCAAAAGACAAAAAGCUUUGAUGCACUUCUUUAAGCAAGACAGAACCAACCACCCACCUGCCAUACAUUUCCUGGUCUGGAGCAGUGACGUCACUGAGCACAGCUGAUCCCCCAGUUUCAGAUCAGAGCAGGAGAAUUUUCACCCUGCAAGAGAGAGCCGGCAGCAUGGUUUGCUCUGGUUUGCUGUGGGUAUUCGUGGUUUCCACCUAUCUUGGAUCCAGCAUGGCCCAGAAGGUCACCCAGACUCAACCAGAAAUGUCUGUGCACGAGGCAGAGACUGUGACCCUGGACUGCAUGUUUGACACUAGUGACAGUAAUUAUUAUUUGUUCUGGUACAAACAGCCUCCCAGCAGGGAGAUGGUUCUCAUUAUUCGCCAAGAAGCUAAUAAGCAAGAGAAUGCAACAAAUAAUCGCUUCUCUGUGAACUUCCAGAAGGCAGACAAAUCCUUCAGUCUCAGGAUCUCAGCCGCCCAGCUGGAGGAUGCUGCGAUGUAUUUGUGUGCUCUCAUGGAGGGCACAGUGACAGGAGCAACAGAGGGAGGUUUACAGAAACCUCAGACCUCAGCAUCUGUGCAGAGGUCGGGGGAAGGGGAAGGGUGAGUGGUUGGGGUACCAGGAGCAUAGAGAGGGAAUCAUCAGCUUCUCCAGAGAAAAAACAUACUAUUCUAUCGAACCAGAGGAAACACAGAAAGGAUGUCUGUAAGCCUUAGUAAUUCUCAAAAUAGUAAUAAAAAUAACUAGUCCCUCAGCAUGGAAUGCCCAUCCCCACUCAGCCACUUCUCUAGUGUUCAAGGUGUUCUGAAGUGUCUCCUCUUCUCGAAGU
Molecule: non-coding RNA, 950 nt
Organism: Acinonyx jubatus (cheetah)
Lineage: Eukaryota; Metazoa; Chordata; Mammalia; Carnivora; Felidae
Source: the annotation of a RefSeq genome assembly